RNAcentral lists this ribosomal RNA (242 nucleotides) under uncultured bacterium. RNAcentral's name for it is "partial 16S ribosomal RNA". It matches the Rfam family "Bacterial small subunit ribosomal RNA", at positions 92 to 334 of the family's 1533-position model. The record is from RNAcentral.
AAAGUGGCGCACGGGUGCGUAACGCGUAUGCAACCUACCUUAAUCAGGGGGAUAGCCUCUCGAAAGAGAGAUUAACACCGCAUAAAAUCAAAGAAUGGCAUCAUUCAAUGAUCAAAUAUUUAUAGGAUUAAGAUGGGCAUGCGUGACAUUAGCUAGUUGGUGAGGUAACGGCUCACCAAGGCGACGAUGUCUAGGGGAUCUGAGAGGAUGACCCCCCACACUGGUACUGAGACACGGACCAG